Molecule: ribosomal RNA, 451 nt
Filed under: uncultured bacterium
Lineage: Bacteria
Description: partial 16S ribosomal RNA
Rfam family: Bacterial small subunit ribosomal RNA
Source: RNAcentral
AACGAACGCUGGCGGCAGGCUUAACACAUGCAAGUCGAACGGGUGUAGCAAUACAUCAGUGGCAGACGGGUGAGUAACACGUGGGAACCUUCCUAGGGGUACGGAACAACUCAGGGAAACUUGAGCUAAUACCGUAUACGUCCGUGAGGAGAAAGAUUUAUCGCCCUUAGACGGGCCCGCGUCGGAUUAGCUAGUUGGUGGGGUAACGGCCUACCAAGGCGACGAUCCGUAGCUGAUCUUAGAGGAUGAUCAGCCACACUGGGACUGAGACACGGCCCAGACUCCUACGGGAGGCAGCAGUGGGGAAUCUUGGACAAUGGGCGCAAGCCUGAUCCAGCCAUGCCGCGUGUGUGAAGAAGGUCUUCGGAUUGUAAAGCUCUUUUGCCAGGGACGAUAAUGACGGUACCUGGAGAAUAAGCCCCGGCAAACUUCGUGCCAGCCGCCGCAGUAA